This 75-nucleotide transfer RNA is filed under the name Pangasianodon hypophthalmus (striped catfish). It matches the Rfam family "tRNA". From Rfam's summary of the family: Transfer RNA (tRNA) molecules are approximately 80 nucleotides in length. The record is from Rfam by way of RNAcentral. Lineage: Eukaryota; Metazoa; Chordata; Actinopteri; Siluriformes; Pangasiidae.
CCCUUGGAGGAUUAGUGGUUAGGCCACGGCGCUCUCACUGCCGUGGCUACCUGGGUUCGAUUCCCGGCCAGGGAA